Molecule: ribosomal RNA, 387 nt
Filed under: uncultured bacterium
Lineage: Bacteria
Description: bacterial SSU rRNA
Rfam family: Bacterial small subunit ribosomal RNA
Source: RNAcentral
GACGAACGCUGGCGGCGUGCUUAACACAUGCAAGUCGAACGAAGAACCUUCCUUCGGGAAGGGGACGAGUGGCGAACGGGUGAGUAACACGUGAGCAACCUACCCUUGACUCUGGGAUAACAGUUGGAAACAGCUGCUAAUACCGGAUACGACCCCGACAGGCAUCUGCCGGGGUGGAAAGCUCCGACGGUCAAGGAUGGGCUCGCGGCCUAUCAGCUUGUUGGUGAGGUAACGGCUCACCAAGGCGACGACGGGUAGCCGGCCUGAGAGGGCGACCGGCCACACUGGGACUGAGAUACGGCCCAGACUCCUACGGGAGGCAGCAGUGGGGGAAUAUUGCACAAUGGGCGAAAGCCUGAUGCAGCAACGCCGCGUGCGGGAUGACGG